This is a long non-coding RNA of Lynx canadensis (Canada lynx), 303 nucleotides long. RefSeq lists it as uncharacterized. Lineage: Eukaryota; Metazoa; Chordata; Mammalia; Carnivora; Felidae. The record is from RefSeq and is a predicted model, not a curated record. The transcript is spliced from 2 exons.
ACAUCUGUUGUUCCCAGAGUUGUUAAGGUUAGUCAUUCUGACAGGUGUGAGGUGAUAUCUCAUUGUGGUUUUGAUAAGCCAUUUUUUAAUACACGUUCUAGAAUUUUACUAAGAAUCAAUCAUCUGUUUUUCAGUUUCCAGAAUUCACCAUCUAGAAUGUCACCCUUUGAAAAUGUGGACAUUUGCUGUAUUGAGCUACCUUUUCCUACGAUGGCUGACAAUGGGACUUUCAACUACUUUCGGGGCCUCCCCUAUAUACCCAACUGUACUAUCCCAUCAAAAUAAAGGUCUCACAUCAGUGAA